ACUCCUACGGGAGGCAGCAGUGGGGAAUAUUGCACAAUGGGCGCAAGCCUGAUGCAGCCAUGCCGCGUGUAUGAAGAAGGCCUUCGGGUUGUAAAGUACUUUCAGCAGUGAGGAAGGUGGAUAUGUUAAUAGCAUAUUCAUUUGACGUUAGCUGCAGAAGAAGCACCGGCUAACUCCGUGCCAGCAGCCGCGGUAAUACGGAGGGUGCGAGCGUUAAUCGGAAUUACUGGGCGUAAAGCGCAUGCAGGUGGUUUGUUAAGUCAGAUGUGAAAGCCCGGGGCUCAACCUCGGAAUUGCAUUUGAAACUGGCAAACUAGAGUACUGUAGAGGGGGGUAGAAUUUCAGGUGUAGCGGUGAAAUGCGUAGAGAUCUGAAGGAAUACCGGUGGCGAAGGCGGCCCCCUGGACAGAUACUGACACUCAGAUGCGAAAGCGUGGGGAGCAAACAGGAUUAGAUACCCUGGUAGGCAUA
This 471-nucleotide ribosomal RNA is filed under the name uncultured bacterium. RNAcentral describes it as "bacterial SSU rRNA". It matches the Rfam family "Bacterial small subunit ribosomal RNA", at positions 335 to 798 of the family's 1533-position model. The record is from RNAcentral.